AGCUAGUCGGAAGCAGAGUAUGAGGGCGUGCCACGCUAGCAGCUAGGCGAGCAUUGUAACGUGCGUUAUUAAGUGAUGCACAUUUGUCACAGAAGUGAAGGCUGGACUACAAUAGAGCUGUUUGGAGCAGUUUGUGACCAGUGUUUA
Molecule: long non-coding RNA, 147 nt
Organism: Etheostoma cragini (Arkansas darter)
Lineage: Eukaryota; Metazoa; Chordata; Actinopteri; Perciformes; Percidae
Exons: 3
Source: RefSeq, a predicted model, not a curated record